UACGUAGGCCGCAAACGUUGUUCGGAAUUACUGGGCGUAAAGAGUGUGUAGGCGGCUUCGCAAGUUUGGUGUGAAAUCUCCCGGCUUAACUGGGAGGGUGCGCCGAAUACUGCAAGGCUUGAGUACUGGAGAGGAUAGCGGAAUUCCUGGUGUAGCGGUGAAAUGCGUAGAUAUCAGGAGGAACACCGGCGGUGUAGACGGCUAUCUGGACAGUAACUGACGCUGAGACACGAAAGCGUGGGGAGCAAACAGG
RNAcentral lists this ribosomal RNA (253 nucleotides) under uncultured bacterium. RNAcentral describes it as "partial 16S ribosomal RNA". It matches the Rfam family "Bacterial small subunit ribosomal RNA", at positions 524 to 776 of the family's 1533-position model. The record is from RNAcentral.